GAUGAACGCUGGCGGCGUGCUUAACACAUGCAAGUCGAACGAUGAAGCCCAGCUUGCUGGGUGGAUUAGUGGCGAACGGGUGAGUAACACGUGAGUAACCUGCCCUUAACUCUGGGAUAAGCCUGGGAAACUGGGUCUAAUACCGGAUAGGAGCGYCYACCGCAUGGUGGGUGUUGGAAAGAUUUAUCGGUUUUGGAUGGACUCGCGGCCUAUCAGCUUGUUGGUGAGGUAAUGGCUCACCAAGGCGACGACGGGUAGCCGGCCUGAGAGGGUGACCGGCCACACUGGGACUGAGACACGGCCCAGACUCCUACGGGAGGCAGCAGUGGGGAAUAUUGCACAAUGGGCGCAAGCCUGAUGCAGCGACGCCGCGUGAGGGAUGACGGCCUUCGGGUUGUAAACCUCUUUCAGUAGGGAAGAAGCGAAAGUGACGGUACCUGCAGAAGAAGCACCGGCUAACUACGUGCCAGCAGCCGCGGUAAUACRUAGGGUGCGAGCGUUAUCCGGAAUUAUUGGGCGUAAAGAGCUCGUAGGCGGUUUGUCGCGUCUGUCGUGAAAGUCCGGGGCUUAACCCCGGAUCUGCGGUGGGUACGGGCAGACUAGAGUGCAGUAGGGGAGACUGGAAUUCCUGGUGUAGCGGUGGAAUGCGCAGAUAUCAGGAGGAACACCGAUGGCGAAGGCAGGUCUCUGGGCUGUAACUGACGCUGAGGAGCGAAAGCAUGGGGAGCGAACAGGAUUAGAUACCCUGGUAGUCCAUGCCGUAAACGUUGGGCACUAGGUGUGGGGACCAUUCCACGGUUUCCGCGCCGCAG
RNAcentral lists this ribosomal RNA (812 nucleotides) under Micrococcus sp. R-23204. Its description in RNAcentral is "bacterial SSU rRNA". It matches the Rfam family "Bacterial small subunit ribosomal RNA", at positions 28 to 851 of the family's 1533-position model. The record is from RNAcentral. Lineage: Bacteria; Bacillati; Actinomycetota; Actinomycetes; Micrococcales; Micrococcaceae.